This 375-nucleotide ribosomal RNA is filed under the name Cosmopterix sp. CLL-2003. Its description in RNAcentral is "partial 16S ribosomal RNA". The record is from RNAcentral. Lineage: Eukaryota; Metazoa; Arthropoda; Insecta; Lepidoptera; Cosmopterigidae.
AGUCUCUUAAUUGGUGACUUGUAUGAAAGAUUGGAUGAAAUAUAAACUGUCUCUUAAUUAUUAAUAGAAUUUAAUUUUUUAAUUAAAAAGUUAAAAUAUUUUUAAAAGACGAGAAGACCCUAUAAAGUUUUAUAUUAAAUAAAUUAAUAUUUAUANAUUUAUUAWAAAGUAAUAAUUUUAAUUAAUAUUUUAUGGGGGGGAUAAAAAAAUUAAAUAAACUUUUNUUUAUUAUUMACNAAAAUAAAUGAAUAAUGGMYCCNAAAUUUUUGAUUAUAAGAGAAAUUMCUUUAGGGAUAACAGCGUAAUUUUUUUUUUUAGUUCUWAUAAAAAANAAAGUUUGCGCCCUCGAUGUGGAUUAANAUAAAAUUUAAAUGC